UCCCUGUAAAAAUAAAAAGUCUAAAAAUGUAUAAAUGCCAUAUAAUUACGUUUAAAAUUAUAAUAAAAAUAUGGAAGUUUUCGAAAGAUAUUGAAAGCCUACAAUUUUACUGAGGUUAACAGAAAAUAAAUUAUACGAAAUAUCGGCAUGCAAUAUGAACACCGGUGCGAGCUUUUUGUUCAUUAGCAUUUACGGAAUCACGAAUAGUUUUUGCGUGUUGCAAAGUGCUACUUGAAAAUAACAUAAAACCUAACAAAGAAAAUUUGAAGAACUGACAAGUCACGGCGUUCUCAACUCCAUGCACAGCCACGUGUUUCAAAAAGUUUUUUUAAAUAAAAAGUAAAAAUAACGCCAAACCCUUAUAAGUGCAAAGAA
Molecule: long non-coding RNA, 375 nt
Organism: Belonocnema kinseyi
Lineage: Eukaryota; Metazoa; Arthropoda; Insecta; Hymenoptera; Cynipidae
Exons: 3
Source: RefSeq, a predicted model, not a curated record